RNAcentral lists this long non-coding RNA (308 nucleotides) under Zostera marina. RNAcentral's name for it is "long non-coding RNA (ZMAR_LNC005969)". The record is from RNAcentral. Lineage: Eukaryota; Viridiplantae; Streptophyta; Magnoliopsida; Alismatales; Zosteraceae.
GAGUUGUUUAUCACUGGUUGAAUAAUUUGUUUUAUAGCCAAAGAAAAUAUUGGGCCAUUAAUUUUAUUUAAGCUUUGUUCAUUCUUUUUGAUAGUCUUAUUUGGAUAUAUAGAUUUUAAGAACUUAACAUUUUUUGAUAUAAACACUUUCCCAGUAUCUAACUCCAAACAUCAAUAUCCUUUUUGAGAAUAAGCAUAACCUAUAAAACACAUUCAGAUGUUUUGGAGUGAAUUUUGAUAUUCCCUUACUUUUAAACGUUCGGAAGAAAUUAUAAUUUGGAUCCCUAUUAAAAAUCAAAUGAAAAGGAG